This 500-nucleotide long non-coding RNA is filed under the name Piliocolobus tephrosceles (Ugandan red Colobus). RNAcentral's name for it is "lncRNA (ENSPTEG00000034491.1)". Lineage: Eukaryota; Metazoa; Chordata; Mammalia; Primates; Cercopithecidae. The record is from RNAcentral.
AUUUUGAUGGCCGCUGAUCAUGUGCAGAUGAUGGAAGCUCAUUUCCUUCCAUGAACCAGGAGCAUGCUCGCCUCUUCUUUUAAGUUGACCCACACAGUCUCUGAUGUCUUCUUUUUGGGAAAGGGAGAAGCCUCCCUGACUGGAGACUAGAAAGAGUCUCACAUCUUCUGCUACCACAUGAAUAGACUAAAAAGAAAGAAGAGUCCCAGAUGGGGCCAAGUGGUGACCUGUAGCUAUUUCAGCUCAGAAUGUCAGCCUCUAAAGCAUCAGCAUCUCCUGAUUGUUUCAAAACCAAGGCCGAGAACUGUCGCAGGCAAGAACUUGUGUGCCGAACUCUGAAGGAGGUGAGUACCAGUCACUGGGUAAUUAGGGCUGUGCGGCAGGUACAGCCUCUCUCACUUGAUGACAAUGAUACAGAAAGAAAAUCUUGGGAAGGGACAAGGCUUCCCUGAGAAACAGCCUUACAGAGAGUCCACCAGUAUUCCUCCUUUAGUACCCAG